Molecule: RNA transcript, 3254 nt
Organism: Dreissena polymorpha
Lineage: Eukaryota; Metazoa; Mollusca; Bivalvia; Myida; Dreissenidae
Exons: 7
Source: RefSeq, a predicted model, not a curated record
AUUACCAUUUAUAAACCGCACUGCUACUGCGUUUAUAAAACUGGAUUAGCCCUUUAGAUAAUACAUAUUACUGUCAAUUUGAGCGUAUAGUUUUCCAAGCUUGGGUAUGACACACACUCUUAGUAGUCGGAAAUACCACAUCUGAUAACGUAUUUUGAACACAGUCGGUCAAAUAGUGAACAAUGGGCUCACAGAAUAGCACAAGGCGUCUUUCGGCAGAAUACAUCAGUUCUCAGUUUGGGAAAUAUCAGUCGAGGUUAUCAGAAGUAAACAGAAAUUUACUGAGAUUUGCCCUGAGGCAGGCAGCUGAACACAUGAUGGAUGAAACUGGGUUGCAUGUUUAUUUAGAAGACGAAGAAUCAUUUUCAUGCAUACCGUCCGGUUGUAGAGAGGCUGACCUCAAAUCAUGGAUGGUCGUCAGUUACGACGCAAGAAUGAAGCCUGAAAUGUAUUUCGAUCAUAUGUCCGGAUUGCGAUCUUUCAAAUCGUAUGUGAUUGAUGGAAUCAAAUCCAUAUGUGCUCGGCUUAUCGAUUAUUUGCCGGAAAUAGCCUCUAGAGCUGCAGCACGAGCAAUAACGUUUUUGUAGACAAUUGCUUACGAAACAAACUCAAUAAUCGGUCGACCAUAUUGAUACUGAUUAUUGAACCCAAGAACUAUCAAUUAAAAAGCUAUUUAAAUGUCAAAAAGCGAAGAAACCAGAUAUUUGAACUGUUUUUUAAUCUUAUCAGAUGUCAUACCCUGUAACGGCCCUAUUUAAUAAGCGUUUUCCCGUGUUAGUCACAUUUUUAAAAUAAAUAUAUCAAGUAUCUCAUUAGAGAAGAAAAUCAAACAAGAAAUGGCUAUGGACGAAGAAUAUUCCGUUUGUGGCAACAUCGUAUACUAGAAGAGGUGUUCGAAGGUUUUAAGUUAUAUCAAUCUAGCUUUGAGUUAUCCUGAAAUAUAUGUAGAAACAUGUCAUUCUUAACCAAUAUUGUCACACAUCGUCUGCCAUUGAGAAAUACAUCUAUUGACAUGGGUGUCAGAGAUUUCUUACAUAUGAUUAUACAUUCGAAACACUGCUACAAUUAUUUUGUAAAACAUACAUGCGAUUCAAAUCAAACAUGUCCUAAAAGGGAAAUAACAUCGCUUAUAUUAUAAACAAUUUCACCAACAUACUCGGGUGCAUAUGUUCAAUUCAAACCCUUAUGAGAGCGUUCAUAGUAUAUUAGCGGUUGAGCAUUAAUGCAUGUUUACUGACUACGAGUAAAACAAAUGCACAAUCUAUUUUGUGUGUGCACAUUUUGGUAUGUUAAAUAUAACAGUUAUUUGGACGAAAUCGGAGUUCUUACUAAAUUUAAUUUGCAAAGCGGAAUUUAUCGUUUACACAGAGGCACGCACGGAUUUUAAAUAUAAUUAUUUCAAUUGUUUAUUGUAUAUAUGAAAAUCUUAUCAUAGAGAGGUCGACGAUCGAAACAUAGCAUAUUGAUGUAUUAUGAUAUCAUAUGAUUCAUUGUGUUCAUGUUUCAAAAUUACAAUACUUUGCUUUACAAUAUGUUUGGAGUGAAUCAAAGUUUAUAACGAUAAUUAGUGUACAAUUUCAAAUUGAAAAUGCACUCUUUGUCAUGACAGGCGGUUUAAUUAAGGAAAAGCAUCAUCAAGUACAUACUCCCAUUGUAUUGUUUAGUUAACUGUGCGCUGCGGGCAUCACUUACUAACACUUCAAGACUUGACAUUAUAAAUAGACCAGUCGCUUAAAAUCUUCCUUAUUAAGGAGAACACUCACAGCUCUCAUAUAGUGGUUGAAGUGUGCAGGCAUGUUUUUUAAUUGGAAUACUUGAACCAAAUCUACAAAACGUUCUUCAUUAUUUUACAGAGGAUAUUGCAUUUACAGGAAUCUACCGAAACACGAAGAUGCUCAAAACAGUUAUUUUGGUAGCCAUGGUUAUUAUGCCUUUAGUGGUGGACGGAAGAUACUCUUGCUUGAAGUUACAAGAUUGUCAGUGCGGGAAUGUGUGCGUUAAUGAACUAGACAAGAGCUGCCAGGGACCAAAAGACUCGUGCAUGUGCAAACCUGGUUGUGUGGUGUUCGACCUCUUCAUUAAACCUGGUGCAGCAAGGUUCGUGUAUGGCAACACUUGUAGCUGUCCUACAAGCCCCCGAGCAACCAAAGGGCCGUUAGCUUGUACCAGGGCGGGAUGGAUAGGCCAACCAGAUGGUGUCCCGGAAUAUAUGGAACACCCAAAAUGUUUGUCGUGAUUCUGAAAGAAAAGUGGUCGCCGUGGUUUGUUUCUGUGUUUUAUACGUUUCCAUUUAUAUAUGUAUAUAAUAUGUAUAUAUGGUAUUGAAAUAACGUGAUAGCUGUCUGAAAUGAUGUUUGUACAUUGUAUGCCUCGCUACAACCAAUACAUCAUUUACACAAUGCACAAUUACAUAAUAUAAUAGAUCGCUCAUGCAUCCUAUUAUGUCAGCUCUAAUUAUUAUAUUUGACACUAAACACUAUCCAAGAUUAUAAGAAGAUUUAAAUAUAAAUUAGAGAACUUAUUGUGACAUCCGCAAAUCAGGUGACUAAUUGCCUUUACACUAGAGGGAAAAGUAAACAAAACAACAUGUAACAUAAAUACAUAUUUCUGAUAUAUAACAAUAGUGAAUAAAGUACAUGAAGCUUAUUUAUAUUCAUCACUAUAUUUAUGUUUUAUCAAUUCAGAGGAUCUGCAUCUAGGUCUAAAUGUCAGAUGUUUGUAGGCCGUGACAACGUCUCUAAAGAAUGCCUUCUUCAACGGGCCGCGGCUAGUCUUCUCCAUAAGUCGAUUUACAUCAAUCUUCGCACUUUCAACGUUUGUUUUACUUAGAACUCAAAUUGGAUAACUCGAUUACAUGUUUUAACAACGCCAUUAAGCAUAUAAAUGCUUAUGCAAAUGUAGGAAAAAGCUGCAAUUAAAACUAUCUUUUUGAUAUAUCGCAUGAAAUAUUUUAAUAAUAUUCGCGUACUAAACCUAUACCUGAAAACAAUGAAUAUUCAUAACGUCUUAUCAAGAUGUUUGCGCAUGCAAAGAAAGUUAAGUAUUUUGCCACUUUACUGUAAAGCGGAAAACGUUGCCCAUACAACAUUGUCAGAUUGUCACAAAUGUUCAAAGUUAUUUCAAAUUGCAAGAUUCCCCAUAGUUUAACAGAGAUGGAUAGAUAUUUGCACAAUGUUCAUGCACAAAUCAUGAAUAAUCAUCAAUGCAACACAUUUUGUUUUACUUUGAAAAGUUAAAUAAAUAAUAACCUUACA